Molecule: ribosomal RNA, 253 nt
Filed under: uncultured bacterium
Lineage: Bacteria
Description: partial 16S ribosomal RNA
Rfam family: Bacterial small subunit ribosomal RNA
Source: RNAcentral
UACGUAGGGUGCAAGCGUUGUCCGGAAUUAUUGGGCGUAAAGAGCUCGUAGGCGGUCUGUUGCGUCGGCUGUGAAAACCCGGGGCUCAACUCCGGGCCUGCAGCCGAUACGGGCAGACUAGAGUUCGGCAGGGGAGACUGGAAUUCCUGGUGUAGCGGUGAAAUGCGCAGAUAUCAGGAGGAACACCGGUGGCGAAGGCGGGUCUCUGGGCCACUACUGACGCUGAGAAGCGAAAGCAUGGGGAGCGAACAGG